Molecule: ribosomal RNA, 466 nt
Filed under: uncultured organism
Description: bacterial SSU rRNA
Rfam family: Bacterial small subunit ribosomal RNA
Source: RNAcentral
GACGAACGCUGGCGGCGUGCUUAACACAUGCAAGUCGAACGGAAAGGCCCAGCUUGCUGGGUACUCGAGUGGCGAACGGGUGAGUAACACGUGGGUGAUCUGCCUUGCACUCUGGGAUAAGCCUGGGAAACUGGGUCUAAUACCGGAUAUGACCUCUGACUGCAUGGUUGGGGGUGGAAAGCUUUUGCGGUGUGAGAUGGGCCCGCGGCCUAUCAGCUUGUUGGUGAGGUAAUGGCUCACCAAGGCGACGACGGGUAGCCGACCUGAGAGGGUGAUCGGCCACACUGGGACUGAGACACGGCCCAGACUCCUACGGGAGGCAGCAGUGGGGAAUAUUGCACAAUGGGCGCAAGCCUGAUGCAGCGACGCCGCGUGGGGGAUGACGGCCUUCGGGUUGUAAACUCCUUUCGCCAGGGACGAAGCGCAAGUGACGGUACCUGGAGAAGAAGCACCGGCCAACUACGUG